GGUCGGUUAGCUCAGUUGGUUAGAGCGUAAGUUGAAAUCAUCAUUCGAGUGGUCAGCAAUCACUAAUACGACGUAGGUGGUGCUAAUAGCUUCUGCUGUAACGCCAAGGUCGCGGGUUCGACCCCCGUACUGACCA
This is a non-coding RNA of Lindgomyces ingoldianus, 136 nucleotides long. NCBI's taxonomy places the organism in Eukaryota, Fungi, Ascomycota, Dothideomycetes, Pleosporales, Lindgomycetaceae. The record is from the annotation of a RefSeq genome assembly.